CAUAGUUAUCCCUGUUGCUGUAAGACAUCCUUCUCUCCAUGUAACUUCCAUCCAGUUUCCUUCUGGAAGUCAUUAAGGGUUAAGUCAUGCCAGCACACAGAAUUAUUUCUAUUCCCUGACAAUUUGGCUCGAGGAGGUUCCUAUUGCUUUUAAUGGUGUAUGAGAAACAACAUGUGAAAUGGUUGGUGAACCUUAUUAAUUUGAUCAAGUGUAUCACUUGAAAUUAAGCUUUCAGUGUGUUCUGUAUGGGUAGAAAAUUCAUUGCAUGGCUUCUUUACAUCAUGCACAUUAAAUGCAGCAAAUAAAGGACCAGUUAAGUGCAUAUUAACACAAAACCUGCCAAUAAUUUCCUCUGAUAAUUUUUUAAUUUCAGGAGGUGGACAGUGGGUUUCCGAAAGGAGCUUAAGUGAAUAUGCUGAGGACUCUGUAGUUCAAGGUGUCUUGGAAAGGCAGUUGAACAGACCCUCCAAUGGGUUCAGGGCUCAGAAUAGAAUUUCUCCUCACAUGGGGGUGUGGAGGUCAGAUCCUGAAAAACAUUCCAGCUCAGCUUCUGAAGAUGGAACCUCCUCCAGCAGAGACUUGGAGAACAUCUAUGGAAAUACUACAGAUUUCCAUGAAAACCUGGAGCUAGAAGACCAUGAUACAGAUGAUAUUUUUGGGACCUGGGAUGAAAGCCAAAUGGAUGAGGAGGAAAUUCUGGAGGAUAAACUACAGGUUCUUGCAUUACAGUGAACACAGAAAGGACUCAAUUCCCUCUCCAUCUUUGUGUGUCACACCAAACCAAGAAGCAGAAGAGGUGUUCUGAGUGCUGGUCAAGAUAUUUUUUACUAAGGAUUAUCUUGUGAAGUUGUCAGUAAAACUCCUUAAAAAUAUCUUGCUUUUGUUUUUUUUUUAUUAGUCUGAAGAAACAACAGAAUAAAAGAAAACUGGUCUUGUGCUUCUUUUUUUUU
This 950-nucleotide long non-coding RNA is filed under the name Manacus vitellinus (golden-collared manakin). Its description in RNAcentral is "lncRNA (ENSMVIG00005017156.1)". The record is from RNAcentral. Lineage: Eukaryota; Metazoa; Chordata; Aves; Passeriformes; Pipridae.